GCCCGGUUAGCUCAAUCGGUAGAGCGUGAGACUCUUAAGGGGUACACGAAAUCUCAAGGUUGCGGGUUCGACCCCCGCAUCGGGCU
RNAcentral lists this transfer RNA (86 nucleotides) under Ustilaginoidea virens. It matches the Rfam family "tRNA". Rfam says of the family: Transfer RNA (tRNA) molecules are approximately 80 nucleotides in length. Their secondary structure includes four short double-helical elements and three loops (D, anti-codon, and T loops). Further hydrogen bonds mediate the characteristic L-shaped molecular structure. tRNAs have two regions of fundamental functional importance: the anti-codon, which is responsible for specific mRNA codon recognition, and the 3' end, to which the tRNAs corresponding amino acid is attached (by aminoacyl-tRNA synthetases). tRNAs cope with the degeneracy of the genetic code in two manners: having more than one tRNA (with a specific anti-codon) for a particular amino acid; and 'wobble' base-pairing, i.e. permitting non-standard base-pairing at the 3rd anti-codon position. The record is from Rfam by way of RNAcentral. Lineage: Eukaryota; Fungi; Ascomycota; Sordariomycetes; Hypocreales; Clavicipitaceae.